This 73-nucleotide transfer RNA is filed under the name Neurospora sublineolata FGSC 5508. Its description in RNAcentral is "tRNA-Und (NNN) (tRNA-Und-NNN-10-1)". Lineage: Eukaryota; Fungi; Ascomycota; Sordariomycetes; Sordariales; Sordariaceae. The record is from RNAcentral.
GCUUGAUUGAUGUAGCGGUUAUCAAAAUCUCCUACAGCUUCCGACAACCCUGGUUCGAUUCCAGGAUCGAGCU